AGAAUCAACGCUGGCGGCGUGCCUAACACAUGCAAGUCGCACGAGAAAGGGGCUUCGGCUCUGAGUAAAGUGGCGCACGGGUGAGUAACACGUGAAUAAUCUACCUCCGAGUGGGGAAUAACUGAGAGAAAUCUUAGCUAAUACCGCAUAACACUUACGAGUCAAAGCAGCAAUGCGCUUGGAGAGGAGUUCGCGGCCGAUUAGUUAGUUGGCGGGGUAAUGGCCCACCAAGACGAUGAUCGGUAUCCGGCCUGAGAGGGCGCACGGACACACUGGAACUGAAACACGGUCCAGACUCCUACGGGAGGCAGCAGUGGGGAAUUUUGCGCAAUGGGGGAAACCCUGACGCAGCAACGCCGCGUGGAGGAUGAAAUAUCUUGGUAUGUAAACUCCUUUCGAUGGGGAAGAUUAUGACGGUACCAUAGAAGAAGCCCGGCUAACUUCGUGCCAGCAGCCGC
This 458-nucleotide ribosomal RNA is filed under the name uncultured bacterium. RNAcentral describes it as "SSU rRNA". It matches the Rfam family "Bacterial small subunit ribosomal RNA", at positions 26 to 518 of the family's 1533-position model. The record is from RNAcentral.